RNAcentral lists this ribosomal RNA (253 nucleotides) under uncultured bacterium. RNAcentral's name for it is "partial 16S ribosomal RNA". It matches the Rfam family "Bacterial small subunit ribosomal RNA", at positions 524 to 776 of the family's 1533-position model. The record is from RNAcentral.
UACGGGGGGGGCAAGCGUUGUUCGGAAUUACUGGGCGUAAAGGGCUCGUAGGCGGCCAACUAAGUCGGAUGUGAAAUCCCCAGGCUUAACCUGGGAACUGCAUCCGAUACUGGAUGGCUUGAAUUCGGGAGAGGGAUGCAGAAUUCCAGGUGUAGCGGUGAAAUGCGUAGAUAUCUGGAGGAACACCGGUGGCGAAGGCGGCAUCCUGGACCGGUAUUGACGCUGAUGCGCGAAAGCCAGGGGAGCAAACGGG